GCCAGCCGGAAGACACCUACCCUGGCCGGAAGACACGUACCCCCGAAGAUCGAGAAAGAGGCUGUCCGGGUAGUAUGUAGCAGUCACGUCAGACUGAGACACUUCUUGUUUACAGGAGACCAUAAAACCCCUGCCCCAUCCUCAUUUGGUGCUGAGGCCGUUUUAGGCCUCAGCCCGCCUGUACCCAGGCACUCAUUAAAACAGCGUGUUGCUCCACAGGGCCUCGUGUUGUCUGUUGGCACGCUCUUGGGCUUGGAACCGAUACAAGAACCUUACAAUGAGGUGGAAGAGAGAAGCACGGCAGGAUUGUGCACAAAGUCUUGUCUGUUGUGGAAUGGAGUUUGGACCUUUCCCACCACUUUCAAGGAAGGGAAUGAAUUGACCUGGUUCACUUCCUAAGAAGGCUACUGUCUGUGUGGUGCUCCUAGAGGCAUGGGAGAGGAGUGAAGACAGAGAUGACCAAAGAAACACUUGGGGAAAGAAUGGAAGCGGCAUGUGUUAGCUUGGGAAAGGGAAACAUACCAGCAUCCGAGAUCUGGCCAUCAGGGAGAAUAACAAACACUGACGGUGGCAAGAUAAAGAGAAGAUUCGAAGAUGGCUCCAGGUCUCCAGCCAGGAAGAUGCUGAUGACAGCAGUGCCAGGAGUUGGAACAGGAAAUGGAAGCCUGAGCUUCUGUUGAUGUCAUCCCUGUCGGACCCUGGAUGAGAAAGAAAACGGGAACAACACGAGGAAGACGAGACAUCUUCCCCAGUGAGAAAUCUGCAAGUGUGCCAUUUUAGAAUGUUGGGUGUAAUGCCAGCCAUUGUUACAAUAGGACAUUGCAUUUUAUACCUGAGAUCACUGACUGGUUGUCAUCAGAUAGAAUCAUGUAGUCCCCUGUUGUACAAACAGAACAUUCUGAUGACUAUUCAUUAAGUGAAAUAUAAUGGAACACUUAAAGUGACCCCAAGAUUAAACCCUUAUUUGGGGUUUGUCUAAUGACUAAUGGUCACUACCACCAGUUUGGAGACAUUACAACAAAACUCUGCUGCUGACAAAAAUAUUAACCAUAAAUGAUGAGAAAUUUUCAGUUGGGACCAAAAGAACAUCUGGAGGCCAUUAAAGCAGGAGAAUUUUCCCUCUAUGUCCUGAUUGCCAAACUUAGAACCAACCACCCAGAAACUGUGGCCCUCAUGCUAACUCAAUGUUUAUAUUUCAUUAAAAACGAUUUCAAGGGUUUGCGUCUUGCACUUCAUGGCCCAACUCCCAUGCAUACAGCUUUUCAUCUCACUGAGCAUGUCCUGGAGCAGACGAGCAUUCCUCACCUCUUGGUUUCAGAAGAAGGAGCUUCUUGGGGAAUAAUUCCAGGUUCUUUUUUUGCAUCUAUAAUCUAAUCAAGAAUCUGUAGGUCCUACCAUCCUAGGAUAAAUGAGGAGAAGAAAACAAGGAUGCAAGACCCAACAAUAAAAAUAUUAGAAUUUUAAAAAUACUAUACUAGAGUUUGCUUUUAAAUACCUAGUAAAGCUACAAUAAGUCAUGAAAUUGAUGAAUGGAAAGUUAUAUAAUUUCAGCUGUAUAUUAGUUGCUUUUUGCUGCUAUAACAAAUCACCACAAACUUUGUGACUUAAGACAGAUGUAGCCAGGCACGGUGGCUCAUGCCUGUAAUCCCAGCACUUUAGAAGGCUGAGGCAGGCGGAUCACCUGAGGUCAGGCAUUCAAGACCAGCCUGGCCAAGAUGAUGAAACCUCAUCUCUACUAUAAAUACAAAAAUUAGCUGGGCAUGGUGGCACCUAUAAUUCCAGCUACUCGGGCGGCUAAGGCAGGAGAAUCAGUGAGUCGAGAUCACACCACUGCACUCCAGCCUGGGCAACAGAGCAAGACUCCAUCUCAAAAAAGGAAAAAACAAAACAAGACGGAUAUAUUACCUUACAGUUCUUGAAGUUAGAAGUCCAACACAGGUUGCACUGGACUAAAAUCAGGGCAUCAGCUGGGCUGCAUUCCUUUCUGGAGGUUCUAGGGGGAAAUCUAUUUCUUUGUCUUUUAGCUCCUUGCAGCUGCUCCAUUCCUUUGUUUAUGGCCUAUUCUCCAUUUUCAAAGCCAGCAAAGUUGCAUCUUUUUAACUUUUCUUCUGCAGGAAUAUCGCCUUCCAACUAUGGCAAGAAAAGGUUGUCUGAUUUUGAAGAUUUGUGUGAUUCAUUUAGGCCCACUAAAAUAAUCCAAGAUAAUCUUCCCAUCUCAAGAUUCUUAAUUUAAUCACAUCUGCAAAGUUCCUUACAAAAGCAACAUAUUCACAAAUUGCAGGGAUUAGGACGUGGACAUCUUUGGGGGAUCCAUAUUCUGCCUAUCACAAGCUAUUUCCAGACUCCAAGUAGUAAAGAGAGUUGAAAUUCAAAAGCUCAUCAGUCACCUUUUUUCACUGUCAUUCCUUUUAGCAUUGAGUUUUACCUUAGGAAAUAGGACAGAUGUUUUCAAUACCUAAAACCUUAAACAUAGAACAAUUUUACAAAUGUCAUGAAACCAGAAUGAAUCUCUUGGCUGAAAGUUUUUCAAUUUUCAAAGAACUAAUUUUAAUUUUACUAGUAAAUUUGAAAUGGAUCCAGCUUGCCUGCUGUACUUUUAUAUGAGACACUAAAUCACGGUUCUUUGGAAACGGCAACAUUGAAAGCAUAAACUGUCAUUUUCCCAGAAUGUGUGGAAGGGCGGAUGUGGUUGAUAUAAUGUGUUUCUUAACACAUCUUUUCACCCUGAGCUCACUCCCACCAUGUGUUUAUAUGCACUGCAGGGCAUACAGCAGCCUUGGUCGGUGCACGUGUUCGCAAGUAGUUUCGCCUAUUUCUCAAGCAUAUAUUCCUACGGGUGCCUAGCAAAUGCCUUAGCUGAGGACAAGGUGUCCAAGGAAUAAGUACUUGCUGCUGUUUUCCAACACACACCACAAUUUCGGCUGAUUCUCAGCAAAGGGCAUUUCUUCUACUCUGGGAUCUGUGAAUUUGCUCAUGGUUUUUAACAACCUGCAGCCCGGCUCAAGUCAUAGUCUGGAUCCCAAUUUGAAAUUAGCUACAUUUUAUUAGUAAGUGUCCAGAAAUGGCUUGGCGGGUCAUUUUCUGUCUUGUAAAAUGUGGUUCUUAUUGGCAGUAACAUGCUUUUUGGGCACUGACUCAUGUUCUCUCUUCAAGCAAAUGAUUCCUUCAGGAGGCACACGCUAUAUCUAGGUUUGCUGUGUGCAACACAUCAGAUCCUGGCCAUAGGGUGACUUAGCAAAGGUACAGGCAGUUUAUUGCACACCUAUGUACACUUCAGGUCCCGUGCUAAGAGUUUUAAGGGCAUUAUCUCAUUUAACUUUACAAAACCCUGUAAGAUAGAAUCUGUUAAUCAUCCCAUUUUCAGACGAUGAAAGCAAGAUUUAAAAUGACUUGCACAACCUCAUGAAACCGACAUGCUUGGGCUGGACUAUAUUGAGACUAGGUGAGGUGAGUGAGCACUCAGUUUGGUGCAAAAUGUAAAGGAAAGCCAAAAGGCUCAGUAAGCAAGGUAAAGGAUAUUUCAGUGCAAUUUUUUAAAAAUGCAAAAUUAGUGAAAACAUUCCAUAGUAAAAUAUUAAAAUGUGAAAAAAAGACAGACUCUGACCUUAUACUGGGACUCAGCCUUAAUCACCUGACUCUAAUCCUGGCCCUGCUGAAUCCUGUCCCUUCCCUGGCUGGAAUUUGAACCCAAGGCUGGCUGAGGCUGAAGCCCAUGUUUGUACCCACUACUCUAUAGGAUGCAUCUGCCUCCUCUGCCAGCAGGGCAGCUGGGAGGUACUUAAAAUGCUUUUCAACAAUGAUGACAG
This 3806-nucleotide long non-coding RNA is filed under the name Homo sapiens (human). RNAcentral describes it as "HSALNT0160692". The record is from RNAcentral. Lineage: Eukaryota; Metazoa; Chordata; Mammalia; Primates; Hominidae.